Molecule: transfer RNA, 72 nt
Filed under: Ornithorhynchus anatinus (platypus)
Lineage: Eukaryota; Metazoa; Chordata; Mammalia; Monotremata; Ornithorhynchidae
Rfam family: tRNA
About the family: Transfer RNA (tRNA) molecules are approximately 80 nucleotides in length.
Source: Rfam by way of RNAcentral
AGCAGAGUGGCUUAGUGGAAAGAGCACUGGCCCGUGAGUCAGAGGACCUAGGUUCUAAUUCUAGCUCUGCCA